GACGAACGCUGGCGGCGUGCUAACACCUGCAAGUCGCACGGAAAGGCCCUGCUUGCCGGGUACUCGAGUGGCGAACGGGUGGGUAACACGUGGGUGAUCUGCCCUGCACUUCGGGAUAAGCCUGGGAAACUGGGUCUAAUACCGGAUAGGAGCCAUUUUUAGUGUGAUGGGUGGAAAGUUUUUUCGGUGUAGGAUGAGUUCGCGGCCUAUCAGCUUGUUGGUGGGGUAAUGGCCUACCAAGGCGGCGACGGGUAGCCGGCCUGAGAGGGUGGACGGCCACAUUGGGACUGAGAUACGGCCCAGACUCCUACGGGAGGCAGCAGUGGGGAAUAUUGCACAAUGGGCGCAAGCCUGAUGCAGCGACGCCGCGUGGGGGAUGACGGCCUUCGGGUUGUAAACUCCGUUCGCUAGGGACGAAGCUUUUUGUGACGGUACCUAGAGAAGAAGCACCGGCUAACUACGUG
Molecule: ribosomal RNA, 464 nt
Filed under: uncultured bacterium
Lineage: Bacteria
Description: partial 16S ribosomal RNA
Rfam family: Bacterial small subunit ribosomal RNA
Source: RNAcentral